ACUCAAACCAAGAAAGCCCUUCAUGAUACCCACAAUAGUGCCACUAUGGUCCGGGAAAUUUUGAACGGCCGCAACAACAUUAGCCGUAUUCAGGAAAGUCUGAGCAUGAGCAGCGAUGAACAUGAACAGGGACAUAACAGCCACAGGCGGCCUGUUUAUGGUUCCGGUGACGGCAAGCCACAUGAAGAAAUAGCCGGCAAAGCUCUGGAUAGCCCCAGCCAGAUGUACGACCCAUGGCCCGCCGUGGAGAAAUGAGAAUCGCCCUUGGACGGAGCUAGGCUUAGCGGCGACAGCGGUAUAAAGGAGACCGGAGAGAAUUCCGGCGUUGGCACCGAUAUCUUUGAAAACAGAGACGGUAUCGAGAGUGGAUUGAUCGUAAAAUUGGGUGGACUUGAGGACAGGGGAGUAGAUGCCGAAGGCGUACGAUGCACCGCUGCUGCACUGGAUCCAUAUGCUAGCCACCGCUGCUAGCCAUUUGCUGCUCUCCAUAGCAAAUGUUCUG
This 502-nucleotide unclassified non-coding RNA is filed under the name Hevea brasiliensis (rubber tree). The record is from RNAcentral. Lineage: Eukaryota; Viridiplantae; Streptophyta; Magnoliopsida; Malpighiales; Euphorbiaceae.